This is a long non-coding RNA of Diceros bicornis minor, 856 nucleotides long. RefSeq lists it as uncharacterized. NCBI's taxonomy places the organism in Eukaryota, Metazoa, Chordata, Mammalia, Perissodactyla, Rhinocerotidae. The transcript has 2 exons. The record is from RefSeq and is a predicted model, not a curated record.
GAUGUAAUGGUAUAUUAAUGAUGGUUUGGAAUGGCACCUUCAUUGGUGUGAUUUUUAAUUCAUUUCACAGGUCAAGCAUUCUGGCAGGAGAAACCCGAAAUGCACAGUCAAACCAGUUACCCCAACCAACGUGGAGUAGAGAGCAGGGCAGGAUGGGCAUGUUCCAGCGCCUCUCAUUGUCUCUGAGCCAAGAGCCCUGAUGUGACCUACUUUGUGAAGCCAGGUGGUGUCGUGGACGGACAAAAGUGCCAGCGCACUCUGCAAGAAGCAGAGGAUGGGGAGCCUGCUGAUCUGACUGGCUGUUGUCACAAUGCACAAGUUUGGGAGAUGUCUGGCUCAGAAAAGGCCAACCUUCCACAACAUUCCAACCCUCAAGGGAACUUUCUAACACAUUGGCAAUAUUAACAAUUCCAAAGCAAUCAGGUGUUUGAUCCUUGAUGCUGACAGGAAGUAGUAUUACUUUAACACACUCUCUGUUUUUUAUUGUUAGUUAAUUGUUCAUGUCUACUUGUCUUAGUUUUCCCUUAAGUUUCAAGUCUCUUAAGGGCAGGGACCAUGUCUUAUACUUCAUAUCCUCUGUCCACACAUGCCUACCACAGUAUUUCAUGGGUACUCAAUUACCAUCUGUUACUGAUUGGGUUUUUUUUUUUAAUAGGUGUCAGACAGCUGUCAUGGUGACCAGGUACAGACAGCGUCACGAGAAGCAAGUAUGGUGCUUUUCCUACUAUAUAAACCACAUGUUGAUUAACCUGAAAUCCUGGGAACACAGGAUGUCCUGCAUGAAUGACUGUGGGUUUAGGACACUGUUAUUCUACCCCUUCUUCCCAACAAUUAAAAAUAUCUUUGUGGCAGAUUA